Molecule: ribosomal RNA, 429 nt
Filed under: uncultured Pseudomonadaceae bacterium
Lineage: Bacteria; Pseudomonadati; Pseudomonadota; Gammaproteobacteria; Pseudomonadales; Pseudomonadaceae
Description: bacterial SSU rRNA
Rfam family: Bacterial small subunit ribosomal RNA
Source: RNAcentral
UGGGGAAUAUUGGACAAUGGGCGCAAGCCUGAUCCAGCCAUGCCGCGUGUGUGAAGAAGGUCUUCGGAUUGUAAAGCACUUUAAGUUGGGAGGAAGGUCAGUAACCUAAUACGUUGCUGAUUUGACGUUACCGACAGAAUAAGCACCGGCUAACUCUGUGCCAGCAGCCGCGGUAAUACAGAGGGUGCAAGCGUUAAUCGGAAUUACUGGGCGUAAAGCGCGCGUAGGUGGUUAUGUAAGUUGGAUGUGAAAUCCCCGGGCUCAACCUGGGAACUGCAUCCAAAACUGCAUAGCUAGAGUACGGUAGAGGGUGGUGGAAUUUCCUGUGUAGCGGUGAAAUGCGUAGAUAUAGGAAGGAACACCAGUGGCGAAGGCGACCACCUGGACUGAUACUGACACUGAGGUGCGAAAGCGUGGGGAGCAAACAGG